This 507-nucleotide ribosomal RNA is filed under the name uncultured bacterium. RNAcentral describes it as "partial 16S ribosomal RNA". It matches the Rfam family "Bacterial small subunit ribosomal RNA", at positions 28 to 523 of the family's 1533-position model. The record is from RNAcentral.
GACGAACGCUGGCGGCGUGCCUAACACAUGCAAGUCGAACGGGGAAGUUAGCAAUAACUUUCUAGUGGCGAACGGGUGAGUAACGCGUAGACAACCAACCUUUUUGUGGGGGACAACACUUCGCAAGGAGUGCUAAUACCGCAUAUGUUCUUAGGGUCGCCUGGCCUUAAGAAGAAAGGAGCGUUACGGCUUCGCAGAAAUACGGGUCUGCGUCUGAUUAGCUAGUUGGAGGGGUAACGGCCCACCAAGGCGACGAUCAGUAGCCGGUAUGAGAGGAUGGACGGCCACACUGGGACUGAGACACGGCCCAGACUCCUACGGGAGGCAGCAGUGGGGAAUCUUCCGCAAUGGACGAAAGUCUGACGGAGCGACGCCGCGUGAGUGAUGAAGGCCCUUGGGUCGUAAAGCUCUGUCAUCGGGGACGAACGGCUUUAUCAGGAAAUGGGUAGAGAUUGACGGUACCCGAGAAGGAAGCUACGGCUAACUACGUGCCAGCCGCCGCCGUAA